CCUACGGGAGGCAGCAGUGGGGAAUAUUGGGCAAUGGGCGCAAGCCUGACCCAGCAACGCCGCGUGAAGGAAGAAGGCCUUCGGGUUGUAAAGCUCUUUUCUCAGGGACGAAGAAAGUGAGGGUACUUGAGUAAUAAGCCACGGCUAACUACGUGCCAGCAGCCGCGGUAAUACGUAGGGGGAAAGCGUUAUACGGAAUUAGUGGGUGUAAAGGGCGUGUAGGCGGGGGGGCAAGGCAGAUGUGAAAACUCAGGGCUCAACCGUGAGACUGCAUUUGAAACUGGGUUGCUUGAGUGGUGGAGAGGCGAGCGGAAUUCCAGGUGUAGCGGUGAAAUGCGUAGAUAUACGGAGGAACACCGGUGGCGAAGGCGGAUUGCUGGACAGUGACUGACGCUGAGGCGCGAAAGCGUGGGGAGCAAACAGGAUUAGAUACCCCAGUAGUC
RNAcentral lists this ribosomal RNA (443 nucleotides) under uncultured bacterium. RNAcentral describes it as "partial 16S ribosomal RNA". It matches the Rfam family "Bacterial small subunit ribosomal RNA", at positions 338 to 795 of the family's 1533-position model. The record is from RNAcentral.